GAUGAACGCUGGCGGCGUGCCUAAUACAUGCGAGUCGAGCGAACGGACGAGAAGCUUGCUUCUCUGAUGUUAGCGGCGGACGGGUGAGUAACACGUGGAUAACCCACCUAUAAGACUGGGAUAACUUCGGGAAACCGGAGCUAAUACCGGAUAAUAUUUUGAACCGCAUGGUUCAAAAGUGAAAGACGGUCUUGCUGUCACUUAUAGAUGGAUCCGCGCUGCAUUAGCUAGUUGGUAAGGUAACGGCUUACCAAGGCAACGAUGCAUAGCCGACCUGAGAGGGUGAUCGGCCACACUGGAACUGAGACACGGUCCAGACUCCUACGGGAGGCAGCAGUAGGGAAUCUUCCGCAAUGGGCGAAAGACUGACGGAGCAACGCCGCGUGAGUGAUGAAGGUCUUCGGAUCGUAAAACUCUGUUAUUAGGGAAGAACAUAUGUGUAAGUAACUGUGCACAUCUUGACGGUACCUAAUCAGAAAGCCACGGCUAACUACGUG
RNAcentral lists this ribosomal RNA (497 nucleotides) under uncultured bacterium. Its description in RNAcentral is "partial 16S ribosomal RNA". It matches the Rfam family "Bacterial small subunit ribosomal RNA", at positions 28 to 507 of the family's 1533-position model. The record is from RNAcentral.